AUUGAACGCUGGCGGCAUGCUUUACACAUGCAAGUCGAACGGUAACAGGCCGCAAGGUGCUGACGAGUGGCGAACGGGUGAGUAAUGCAUCGGAACGUGCCCAGUCGUGGGGGAUAACGCAGCGAAAGCUGUGCUAAUACCGCAUACGAUCUAUGGAUGAAAGCGGGGGACCGUAAGGCCUCGCGCGAUUGGAGCGGCCGAUGUCAGAUUAGGUAGUUGGUGGGGUAAAGGCUCACCAAGCCAACGAUCUGUAGCUGGUCUGAGAGGACGACCAGCCACACUGGGACUGAGACACGGCCCAGACUCCCACGGGAGGCAGCAGUGGGGAAUUUUGGACAAUGGGCGCAAGCCUGAUCCAGCAAUGCCGCGUGCAGGAAGAAGGCCUUCGGGUUGUAAACUGCUUUUGUACGGAACGAAACGGCGAGCUCUAACACAGUUUGCUAAUGACGGUACCGUAAGAAUAAGCACCGGCUAACUACGUGCCAGCCGCCGCAGUAA
Molecule: ribosomal RNA, 498 nt
Filed under: uncultured bacterium
Lineage: Bacteria
Description: partial 16S ribosomal RNA
Rfam family: Bacterial small subunit ribosomal RNA
Source: RNAcentral